UAGGGAAUCUUCGGCAAUGGGGGGAACCCUGACCGAGCAACGCCGCGUGAGUGAAGAAGGUUUUCGGAUCGUAAAGCUCUGUUGUUAAGGAAGAACGAGUGUGAGAAUGGAAAGUUCAUGCUGUGACGGUACUUAACCAGAAAGGGACGGCUAACUACGUGCCAGCAGCCGCGGUAAUACGUAGGUCCCGAGCGUUGUCCGGAUUUAUUGGGCGUAAAGCGAGCGCAGGCGGUUAGAAAAGUCUGAAGUGAAAGGCAGUGGCUCAACCAUUGUAGGCUUUGGAAACUGUUUAACUUGGGUGCAGGAGGGGAGGGUGGAAUUCCAUGUGUAGCGGUGAAAUGCGUAGUUAAAUGGGGGAACACCGGUGGCGGAAGCGGCUCUCUGGUCUGUAACUGACGCUGAGGCUCGAAAGCGUGGGGAGCGAACAGG
RNAcentral lists this ribosomal RNA (429 nucleotides) under Verrucomicrobiota bacterium. RNAcentral describes it as "Verrucomicrobia bacterium partial 16S ribosomal RNA". It matches the Rfam family "Bacterial small subunit ribosomal RNA", at positions 355 to 776 of the family's 1533-position model. Lineage: Bacteria; Pseudomonadati; Verrucomicrobiota. The record is from RNAcentral.